RNAcentral lists this transfer RNA (67 nucleotides) under Scarabaeoidea sp. KM-2017. RNAcentral's name for it is "tRNA-Tyr". It matches the Rfam family "tRNA". From Rfam's summary of the family: Transfer RNA (tRNA) molecules are approximately 80 nucleotides in length. Their secondary structure includes four short double-helical elements and three loops (D, anti-codon, and T loops). Further hydrogen bonds mediate the characteristic L-shaped molecular structure. tRNAs have two regions of fundamental functional importance: the anti-codon, which is responsible for specific mRNA codon recognition, and the 3' end, to which the tRNAs corresponding amino acid is attached (by aminoacyl-tRNA synthetases). tRNAs cope with the degeneracy of the genetic code in two manners: having more than one tRNA (with a specific anti-codon) for a particular amino acid; and 'wobble' base-pairing, i.e. permitting non-standard base-pairing at the 3rd anti-codon position. Lineage: Eukaryota; Metazoa; Arthropoda; Insecta; Coleoptera. The record is from RNAcentral.
AAUAAAGUGGCUGAAGUAUUAAGCGAUAAACUGUAAAUUUAUUUAUGAAAUUUUUUUUCCUUUAUUA